AAUAAGUUUGAUUCUUUCUUGAAUUUUUAUAUAUUUACUGAAAUUGCAUGAGAAUUAUGGUAUGUAUAAACUGUUGUUUUUUAAAAGAAAAGUAAAAUGGAAGUAGAAAUAAAUUAUCGAUAAUAGUGAAAUGCUCAGCAUAUAAUAUUAGUUAAUUUAAGAAAUUAAGAGUUAGCAUGUAAAAAAAGAUCUGAUGAAACAUUGUGCCAGCAGUCGCGGUUAUACAUUGGGGUCAAAUAAAAAUUAAAUAUUAUUUAGUUAAAUUUAAAUGAAUUUAGUUAUAAAAUUACUUAAAAAUUUGAAGGUAAAAUUGAAAGAUUUUUAAAGUUGUUAAUUGGAUAAAAAUUGAAGCUAAAAAAGUUUAGGCUUAAACUAGGAUUAGAUACCCUAUUAUACUAAAAAAAAAAUUGAAAAGUUGAUUAUUAUUAGAUAUGUGCUUAAAAUUUGAAGAAUUUGGCGGUAGUUUAGUCUUGUUAGAGGAACCUGUUUUAUUAAAUCGAUAAACCGCGUAAAAUCUUGCUUUUUUUUGUUGAGCAGCUUAUAUACCGUCAUUAACGGAUAAUUUUAUGAGAAUUAAUUAUUAAGAUUUAUAAAAAUAAAUAAAAUUAGAUCAAGGUGUAGCCUAUAAAAAAGCUAAAAUGGGUUACAAUAAAAUUUGUUUAGAACGUAUUUAUGAAGUAAGGUUUAUAAUGAAGGAGGAUUUAAUUGUAAUUAUAAAUUAAUAUAUUAUAAUGAUAUAUAGCACUAAAUUAUGUACAUAUUGCCCGUCGCUUUCAUUCAAAGAUGAGAUAAGUCGUAACAUAGUAGGUUUAUUGGAAAUUGAACCUGGAUUGGU
RNAcentral lists this non-coding RNA (835 nucleotides) under Trapezia cymodoce. The record is from RNAcentral. Lineage: Eukaryota; Metazoa; Arthropoda; Malacostraca; Decapoda; Trapeziidae.